Molecule: ribosomal RNA, 540 nt
Filed under: uncultured bacterium
Lineage: Bacteria
Description: bacterial SSU rRNA
Rfam family: Bacterial small subunit ribosomal RNA
Source: RNAcentral
AAUAGAUACCCGGGUAGUCCACGCCGUAAACGAUGGAUACUAGCUGUUGGAGGUAUCGACCCCUUCAGUAGCGAAGCUAACGCGUUAAGUAUCCCGCCUGUGGAGUACGGUCGCAAGACUAAAACAUAAAGGAAUUGACGGGGACCCGCACAAGCGGUGGAUCGUGUUCUUUAAUUCGAUGCUAAACGAAGAACCUUACCAGGGUUUGACAUCCCUUGAAUUAAUCCGAAAGGAUUGAGUGCUUUAUUGAACAAGGUGACAGGUGAUGCAUGGCCGUCGUCAGCUCGUGUCGUGAGAUGUUUGGUUAAGUCCAUCAACGAGCGCAACCCUUGCAAGUAGUUGUAUUUUUCUACUUGGACUGCCCCGGUAACGGGGAGGAAGGAGGGGAUGAUGGUCAGGUCAGUAUUUCCCUUACAUCCUGGGCUAGAAACACGAUACAAUGGCUAGUACAAUGCGCAGCGAAGCCGCGAGGUGAAGCAAAUCGCAUCAAAGCUAGUCCCAGUUCGGAUUGGAGGCUGAAACUCGCCUCCAUGAAGUCGG